RNAcentral lists this ribosomal RNA (253 nucleotides) under uncultured bacterium. RNAcentral describes it as "partial 16S ribosomal RNA". It matches the Rfam family "Bacterial small subunit ribosomal RNA", at positions 524 to 776 of the family's 1533-position model. The record is from RNAcentral.
UACAGGGGGGGCAAGCGUUGUUCGGAAUUACUGGGCGUAAAGGGCUCGUAGGUGGCCAACUAGGUCAGACGUGAAAUCCCUCAGCUUAACUGGGGAACUGCGUCUGAUACUGGAUGGCUUGAGUUUGGGAGAGGGAUGCGGAAUUCCAGGUGUAGCGGUGAAAUGCGUAGAUAUCUGGAGGAACACCGGUGGCGAAGGCGGCAUCCUGGACCAACACUGACACUGAGGAGCGAAAGCCAGGGGAGCAAACGGG